Molecule: long non-coding RNA, 926 nt
Organism: Pipra filicauda (Wire-tailed manakin)
Lineage: Eukaryota; Metazoa; Chordata; Aves; Passeriformes; Pipridae
Exons: 5
Source: RefSeq, a predicted model, not a curated record
UCCCUGGGGCCGCGCACAGCGACAAGGGAGUUGUGAAGCGAACAGAACCAAAGCGCCCAGCUCUCCUGGGCUGACUUAGCGCCUUCGAUUCCUCCGCGUGCGGAGGGUGUAAUUAGUUUUAUUUAUUUUCUUUCCGACUCCGAAAGAUCACUCUCUUUUUCAAUAUAGAAGAAUAUGAUUCCCUCUCCCCUGGAAAGGCAUUAUCAGAACUGAUGGGGAUAUUUUUCUUUCUUUAUGUUUUGGAGAACACAAACCAAUAUUCCGCUUUUUCAUUAAUGCCUAGUUAGUCUACGAGUUCCUCUCCUCCAGAGCUGCUGUUGGACAAAAGAGGGCCCUGCUUCAUAGUCAGAGCAUUGUGAAAUUGCCUCAGUAAUUAAGGAUGUACAUGUGUGAAGGCAUCACCAGUGUUGUGCUUCCCAGCAUGCCCUAGCAUUCCUUCAAACAAGCAUUCACAGUAGCAGAAAGUCCAAGAAAAGGCUUGCUCCCUUGAGGAUCAAGAAGAAAGCAACAGCAAAGAAAGGACCAAUAGAAACAUGGAGAAUACGGAAAGCUGAUAAAGAGGAAAAUGAGAAAGUGGAGCUAAAAUAAAUUCCGCCACUGGAGGAGCAUAGUGGCCUGACAGCACCGAAGCAGGAAAUCCACUCCAAAAUUAAGACAGUGAACGAAAAGUGCAAUGCAAGGCUCUCCCUCUUGUACCAUUAACCAGUCUUAAUCUUGUCGUCAUGGGACCACUCCUAACGUGGGAGCAGUCAGCAUUCACUGCUUGGCCUCUGUGCUGAGGGGACCCAUCUGCCACUUGGAUGAAGAUGAUUUGCAUCAUGUGGACACCUAUAUUUCAUUUGCCUUCAUUUGCAUGCAGCAGCCUUCCUGAGUUCAGAGUUAUUUGAUGGCAGAGACAAAAGAAUAUGUCAUUACCCUGAAAUAAA